AGAGUUUGAUCCUGGCUCAGAUUGAACGCUGGCGGCGUGCUUUACACAUGCAAGUCGAGCGGCAGCAUGACCUCGGUUGAUGGCGAGCGGCGAACGGUGAGUAAUACAUCGACGUACCUUUAGUGGGGAGUAACGCAUCGAAAGAUGUGCUAAUACCGCAUAAUACUCUGAGGAGGAAAGGCGGGGAUCACGUAAGUGACCUGUCGCUGAAAGAGCGGCCGAUGGUCGAUUAGCUAGUUGGCGGGUAAAGCCCACCAAGGCGAUGAUCGAUAGCGGGUCUGAGAGGACGAUCCGUCACACUGGGACUGAGACACGGCCCCAGACUCCUACGGAGGCGAC
RNAcentral lists this ribosomal RNA (339 nucleotides) under uncultured prokaryote. RNAcentral describes it as "bacterial SSU rRNA". It matches the Rfam family "Bacterial small subunit ribosomal RNA", at positions 8 to 352 of the family's 1533-position model. The record is from RNAcentral.